UUAUCUCUUGAAUCAACUUAAAAUAUUUUCAUUUUUACAGAUGUUGACUGUUACUCAUGAAGGAAAGAAUUUGUAGACCAACCACCAAAGAUUUGUUUGGCACUGUCAUUUCAAAAAUAUUCCCUAUUUUGGUAAUUAUUAAAUUUGGUCAAAACAAAACAAACACAAAAAUUAAAACAUUAUAAGAAACUGACCAAUAAUUACAAUGUGUGACCAUAAAAUAACAGUUUUGCUGUUUAAAUCAGCUAAAAAUAUUAUUAUUUUACAUAUUUAUCCCAAUAUUUCCAUGUUUUUUAACACCACCGUGUCCCACAGUUUAGUUUUACAUAUUUUUCUUUGCACUCUUGAUGUCAGAUUGUCACAUUUCUCCAUGCAGGAACCAGAAUGAUCGUCCUGCAGCCACUCAGCAGCUCUUGGGUCAAUCCUUCCACAUGCUCCGUAAACAGCAGCAGCAGUGUUUAGAUGCAGCCGCUGGAUGUGCCUCCUCCUUCCAGCACCUCCUGCUGUUAUAAUAGAUACUGCUGCUGCUUUCAUCCAAUGUCACGGUGAUUACUGCAGCUCCUCUGCCGUGUUUCCUGGCUUCUGUCUGUCUCUGUUGGUGCGAGCCUCUAAUUGCAGGAGUGUUGAGGAGUCGGAGCAGAGCUUCACCAGCUGCAGCCACUUCCUGUAAUCAAGCCUUCUUCAGAGCCUCAGCUUCCACUCCGCUGACUCUUUAAGUCUUCUUUUCUGAUUAACGCCUGUUUCCUUCUGCCUACAGCUUCCUCCAGAUCACUGGACCUUCGUCUUCCACCCUCUGCACUGCAAAAAAGCUAACUUGUAUUUUUUGGCCUAAAACAGUAAUUUAUGUUGGUAAAACUUAAAAAUAUAAAUUAGUGAUAUUUAAGAUAAUAAUCUAAGUUAGCACAACAAAGCACGACAGUUGCAUGUUCCAAAAUAAUUUGGUGAGUUGUUAACACUUAAAUCUUUACGUUGUGGUUCAAUACAAGGGACAACAGUUCUGCCAACUCAUUUUUCUUUGUUGUGAAAUGCGGGAAAGCCAACUUUCCAAGUUGACAUUUUUCACUUCAAGUCUUCUGGCUGUGUGCUGCUGCAAGGAGCUGGAGUGCUGCUGUCUCAGGCUGAAGUCUGCACAGGUAAGUUUUAAACAACAUUUAAUUUAAUAUAUUUUAACGUGAAAUCAUACGGGAAUUUUAUUUUGAGUUGUGUCAUAAUGGAGAAAGUGACCUACACAUUUUCAACAUUUAAACACAAGGCUUUUCAGUCCUUAGCAGUUAGCUGCUAACUGAUGCUAGCAAGGGAACAGCGGUUAAGCCAGUAACAUUAGCUUGUUUGGGCAAAUCCUAUUCAAAUAUGACAGCAUGUUAUCUUCUGACUGGUUGGUAUUGUGUUAAUUCAUGCUCAACUCAAAAUUAUGGUCUCAACGUCAGCCGAAACUUUAUCUCAUCUUUCAUAAAUGUUGAAGAUGUUAUUAGACAGGGUAAUAACAGUCAUGCUCGGUCUCUGCUCCCAGACAGCAGCAGGUGAGCAGGCUGUUACGUUAGUGGGGACAGAGAGAACCGAGCUCGGCACAUGCUGCAGCUCAAUCCACUGUGCAGUAAGUUAGACAUAGGCAGACAUAGGUGGGCAUGUUAAAAAAUAUUCACUUCAGCAAUGCUUUCCCUCAGCUAUGUUUAUGGGGGUGUGACGGUCAGACCAUCGACUGUGUGUGUGUGUGUGUGUGUGUGUGUGUGUGGGUGUGUGUGUGUGUGGGUGUGUGUGUGUGUGUGUGUCCGCACGUGUGUAUGUGGGGUGCGUUCGCAGACAGACGGCAGAAGGGUGGGGGCCCUGUGAUUAUCGAAGAGUAUUUUUGCUUGAAAUGCACAUCCCUACUUCUUAAAGUUUAACGUUACGUCAGACUGAGUUAAAUUUUUGAUUGUGAGGUAUGGGGUGGAAAUAGUUAAAAUGUCAAGCUCAUAAUUAAUUGUAUUUGGAAAAAAAAUGGUUAUUUAAUAAUGUGGCGAGUUGGAGCUUAUUCUGAUUCACAGUAUUUUGAUGACUAAUGUCUUGCAAUCCAUGUGUUGGUCUUUUCCUGUCUGUUAACAUCAGGACACUGACCCAGAAGUGGAGCAGACGAAGGGCCUCACUGUGGGUAUCCUCACUGUGCUGGAGGAUGAUGACAGCAGGGCUCCUCAAAGUGUCUGUGGACCAACAUCUUCCCAGAACCCAGACGGAGCUCCAGAUCUGCAGCUUCUGGUUCGGUUCCUCCCUCGACUCUGAUUACCUGCCUGUCCAACUCUUCUUUAACCUCAGUCAUCACCUGCUGUCUCUGGGUCACUAAUGCAGCCCAGAACAGCUGGAAAAACAUCCAAACAUACUCACAAUACGAGUAAGACUGUUACAGGAACUCCAGUGAGAGGAGAACAUUAGGAGAAGUCAUGAAUAAAUUAAAAAAAACAUAUAUACAGUG
Acanthochromis polyacanthus (spiny chromis) is the source of this 2446-nucleotide long non-coding RNA. RefSeq lists it as uncharacterized. The transcript has 2 exons. The record is from RefSeq and is a predicted model, not a curated record. Lineage: Eukaryota; Metazoa; Chordata; Actinopteri; Pomacentridae.